Molecule: ribosomal RNA, 253 nt
Filed under: uncultured bacterium
Lineage: Bacteria
Description: partial 16S ribosomal RNA
Rfam family: Bacterial small subunit ribosomal RNA
Source: RNAcentral
UACGUAGGGUGCGAGCGUUAAUCGGAAUUACUGGGCGUAAAGCGUGCGCAGGCUGUUUUGUAAGCCAGAUGUGAAAUCCCCGGGCUUAACCUGGGAAUGGCAUUUGGGACUGCAAGGCUUGAGUGCGGCAGAGGAGACUGGAAUUCCUGGUGUAGCAGUGAAAUGCGUAGAUAUCAGGAGGAACACCGAUGGCGAAGGCAGGUCUCUGGGCUGACACUGACGCUCAUGCACGAAAGCGUGGGGAGCAAACAGG